RNAcentral lists this ribosomal RNA (1000 nucleotides) under uncultured bacterium. Its description in RNAcentral is "bacterial SSU rRNA". It matches the Rfam family "Bacterial small subunit ribosomal RNA", at positions 356 to 1376 of the family's 1533-position model. The record is from RNAcentral. RNAcentral also lists the same sequence under 1 other name.
GGGGGAUAUUGCGCAAUGGGGGCAACCCUGACGCAGCAACGCCGCGUGAAGGAUGAAGGUUUUCGGAUUGUAAACUUCUUUUAUUAAGGACGAAAAAUGACGGUACUUAAUGAAUAAGCUCCGGCUAACUACGUGCCAGCAGCCGCGGUAAUACGUAGGGAGCAAGCGUUGUCCGGAUUUACUGGGUGUAAAGGGUGCGUAGGCGGCUUUGCAAGUCAGAUGUGAAAUCUAUGGGCUCAACCCAUAAACUGCAUUUGAAACUGUAGAGCUUGAGUGAAGUAGAGGCAGGCGGAAUUCCCCGUGUAGCGGUGAAAUGCGUAGAGAUGGGGAGGAACACCAGUGGCGAAGGCGGCCUGCUGGGCUUUAACUGACGCUGAGGCACGAAAGCGUGGGUAGCAAACAGGAUUAGAUACCCUGGUAGUCCACGCUGUAAACGAUGAUUACUAGGUGUGGGGGGUCUGACCCCUUCCGUGCCGGAGUUAACACAAUAAGUAAUCCACCUGGGGAGUACGGCCGCAAGGUUGAAACUCAAAGGAAUUGACGGGGGCCCGCACAAGCAGUGGAGUAUGUGGUUUAAUUCGAAGCAACGCGAAGAACCUUACCAGGUCUUGACAUCCAACUAACGAAGUAGAGAUACAUUAGGUGCCCUUCGGGGAAAGUUGAGACAGGUGGUGCAUGGUUGUCGUCAGCUCGUGUCGUGAGAUGUUGGGUUAAGUCCCGCAACGAGCGCAACCCUUGCUAUUAGUUGCUACGCAAGAGCACUCCAAUAGGACUGCCGUUGACAAAACGGAGGAAGGUGGGGACGACGUCAAAUCAUCAUGCCCCUUAUGACCUGGGCUACACACGUACUACAAUGGAUGUUAACAGAGGGAAGCAAGACAGCGAUGUGGAGCAAACCCCUAAAAACAUUCUCAGUUCAGAUUGCAGGCUGCAACCCGCCUGCAUGAAGAUGGAAUUGCUAGUAAUCGCGGAUCAGCAUGCCGCGGUGAAUACGUUCCCG